This 244-nucleotide unclassified non-coding RNA is filed under the name Glomeraceae sp. Its description in RNAcentral is "partial contains 5.8S ribosomal RNA and internal transcribed spacer 2". The stretch from base 1 to 71 matches the Rfam family "5.8S ribosomal RNA", at positions 84 to 154 of the family's 154-position model. The record is from RNAcentral. Lineage: Eukaryota; Fungi; Glomeromycota; Glomeromycetes; Glomerales; Glomeraceae.
GUGAAUCAUCGAAUUUUUGAACGCAAAUUGCGCUUCCUGGCAUCCCGGGAAGUAUGCCUGUUUGAGGGGCAGUAUUAACAAAAAAUCGGUUUGGUUGCAAAUUGUGACGUUUCCGGAGUUUGGGCUAUCUUAACUUUUUUGGUUAAGGGGCUUAAAAUUGACCUUAUUUGCGCAUUUUUAGACGUACAUAAAUUUUUUUUAAUCGGCUUUUCUUAAUUCCAAAAUCUUAUUAGAAUGGAAUACA